This 926-nucleotide long non-coding RNA is filed under the name Homo sapiens (human). RNAcentral describes it as "HSALNT0091377". Lineage: Eukaryota; Metazoa; Chordata; Mammalia; Primates; Hominidae. The record is from RNAcentral.
ACUAGAUUUCUGUACUCAUUUGUGUGGAUGAAUUUAACUGUGAUGGUGGGAGCAAAACAGGUAUUGAAUCUACUUGGAGCCAAGAGGAGAUAAAUAACAGACUCCAGGAAUCAGCUUGAAUAUUCUACAGAGGGUGGUCCAGUGACUAUAAAAUAAACUGGAAGCAGAAAUUUCUGUAAUUAAUUCAACUAUAGAGUCAUUACGUGAAGAACAAGUUAGUAAGUCCUUCCUAUACUUGUUUAAUUCUUGGAAUCUUCUAAUAAGGGAAAUAAAAAAAAUCAGUGUUUUGAAUUAGAAUUAUUUCCCUUCUAAUAAGGGAAAUAAAAAAAUCAGUGCAUUGAUAAAGUGAGGUACAUAGGAUAUUUUAUAGAAAAGACAUUUGACUUAAUAGCAUCAUACCUAAAUAUUUUUGGAUGGGUGUAUAAUAUAUCUAUAUAAAGAGAUAGAUAUAUAUCUAUGUAUGUGUGUGUGCAUAUGAAUUAUUGUCAUAAAUUAUGUACUCCAGUAUGUUACACAAAUACUGAGUAAAUACAUGGAAAUUUGUUGAUACAGCUUUCCCAAACUUUGUUCUUUGGACUACUAGUGUUUCAUAAGAUAUUGAUAUGUAUACUUUGGGGAAAAAUUAUACCUGUUGAAAUAAGAGGGAAAUUAUUUUUUAUAGAGAUUCACACUAUAAAUUAGAAUAUUAAUGACUCUGAGAAGGAAUUUAGAAAGAAAAUCUUUGCUUCUAACACAACACUUACUUGAUCUCAUUAUAGUGUUUAAGGUAAAACCUUUAUUAAAAAUUCAAUCACUGUUCCAAAUAUACAUUCCAGAAAAAAACUUUAUAUGGGCAAAAAUACACAUUUUAAAAUAUCACAACACUCCUGUUUAAAUAUUGUCCCAAUUAUUUAUUAACUGUAAUACCAACGGAAAAUAUUUAGCCC